RNAcentral lists this long non-coding RNA (1151 nucleotides) under Papio anubis (olive baboon). RNAcentral's name for it is "lncRNA (ENSPANG00000045719.1)". The record is from RNAcentral. Lineage: Eukaryota; Metazoa; Chordata; Mammalia; Primates; Cercopithecidae.
AAUUGGUCACUUGAGGCAUGUUGCUAAUAAAAUAUUGGAGAGGGAAAGAAGUAAAGAGAUUUAGGUUCAAAAGAGCAUAAGCAGAAAGAGUAAAGACUGCGGCGAGGGGGAAAAAGAGUUGUUCCUGGUUAGACAGCAUUGUCAAUAUUGUUGUAAUGAUUACCCUAUAUUGAACUCUAACUCGUCUCCAACCUAUGAGAGUUCAACUUACAAUUUUUUAACUUUAUGAUGGUGCAAAAAUGAGUCACAUUCAGCAUGCUUCUCAACCUAUGACAUGGUUACAUUUGAUAACCCACUGUAAGUUGAAACUAUUGUACAAUAUUUGGCAUCUGUAAUACCAAGUGAUUUACAUACAUUAUUAUUAUUUUUUGCAAUAAUACUGCAAUGUUACCAUUAUUAUUUCCAUAUUGCAGACAAUGAAAAAGAGUUAGAGAAAUUUGCCUAAAGUUAUAAAGUUACCAUGGUAGGGAGCUUCUGACAUGCCUCUCAAUGAUCUCCUCUCCGGGUGUUCAGACCAUCUGCUCCCGUAUGGGCUGGACUAGUGGCUUGCUUCCAAGGAAUAUAACAUGGUAUAAGCAAUGGGAUAUCAUUUUCAAAAUUAGGUUAUAAAAGAUUGAUUUCUCUCCUCAUUCUCUCUCUUUCUGGUACUUCCUCUUGCCUUCUGAUUUUCUCACUCUGGUGAAGCCAGCUGCCAUGUUGUGAGAUGCCCUAUAGAGUAGCCUAUGUGUCAAGGAACCAAAGGAGACCACCAGCUAACAGCUCAUGAGAGAUGAAGGCCUCUGUCCAACACCCUGCAAUGAACUGAAUCCAUCCAACAACCACAGAAAUAAACUUGCAAGUGGGUUCCCCAGAACAUCGAAGGCAUUGCACCAUUGCCUUCCAGCAUCCAGUGUUGUUGCUGAGAAGACUGCUGCCAAUUGGAUCUGAAAUUUUCUUUGGAAGUGUACCAGGAGGGAGGGUACAAGAAGACCAGGCAAUUAUGGAGUGGCUGAGGAAAGAAGGGACCAGAGGAGGAGAGAGAAGACUUGGGUGCAAUGCUGAGCUGAAUGGAGAAGAACCUGGUGAGUUCUUCCUUGAGGCCCAGGUUGUGAUACUGUAAUUCUCUAAUUACCUCAGAGCUAAAACUAUUUUAUUUGUCUAGAAAUGACAUG